Molecule: ribosomal RNA, 447 nt
Filed under: uncultured bacterium
Lineage: Bacteria
Description: partial 16S ribosomal RNA
Rfam family: Bacterial small subunit ribosomal RNA
Source: RNAcentral
AACGAACGCUGGCGGCAGGCUUAACACAUGCAAGUCGAACGCCCCGCAAGGGGAGUGGCAGACGGGUGAGUAACGCGUGGGAAUCUACCCAGAUCUUCGGAACAACACAGGGAAACUUGUGCUAAUACCGGAUACGCCCUACGGGGGAAAGAUUUAUCGGAUUUGGAUGAGCCCGCGUUGGAUUAGCUAGUUGGUGAGGUAAUGGCUCACCAGGGCGACGAUCCAUAGCUGGUCUGAGAGGAUGAUCAGCCACACUGGGACUGAGACACGGCCCAGACUCCUACGGGAGGCAGCAGUGGGGAAUAUUGGACAAUGGGCGAAAGCCUGAUCCAGCCAUGCCGCGUGAGUGAUGAAGGCCUUAGGGUUGUAAAGCUCUUUUAGUGGGGAAGAUAAUGACGGUACCCACAGAAAAAGCCCCGGCUAACUUCGUGCCAGCAGCCGCCGUAA